UUCUCCGUCGUCAAGAGGCUUAAGACAGCAGUCUCUAAAACUGCCACUCCUUGGUUCGAAUCCAAGCGGAGAAACCA
Molecule: transfer RNA, 77 nt
Filed under: Caudoviricetes sp.
Lineage: Duplodnaviria; Heunggongvirae; Uroviricota; Caudoviricetes
Description: tRNA-OTHER
Rfam family: tRNA
About the family: Transfer RNA (tRNA) molecules are approximately 80 nucleotides in length. Their secondary structure includes four short double-helical elements and three loops (D, anti-codon, and T loops).
Source: RNAcentral